AAGCAAUGAUGAGAUUCCACUUCGGUCCGUGUUUUUGAAUUCUGUGAUGCCAAUAGAAGUUCUGAGUCU
Molecule: small nucleolar RNA, 69 nt
Organism: Osmerus eperlanus (European smelt)
Lineage: Eukaryota; Metazoa; Chordata; Actinopteri; Osmeriformes; Osmeridae
Product: small nucleolar RNA SNORD18
Exons: 1
Source: RefSeq, a predicted model, not a curated record